This is a long non-coding RNA of Felis catus (domestic cat), 3835 nucleotides long. RefSeq lists it as uncharacterized. The record is from RefSeq and is a predicted model, not a curated record. The transcript is spliced from 3 exons. NCBI's taxonomy places the organism in Eukaryota, Metazoa, Chordata, Mammalia, Carnivora, Felidae.
CACACUCUGAAUGCUCAUCAGCUACGGGUGGCUAGUGGUUACUGCAGAUCAGGUACAGAACACUUCCAUCACAGUGGAAAGCUCUGUUGGACAGAAUUGUUCUAGAAUCUUCGGGGCACUGGGAAUCUUCAAGACCAUUUGCAGAGCUUUCCAGCUGGGGUCUUCAACUGGGCUACAGCACCUCCAUGGGGCUCGAGCAAGACCGACGAAGUCAGCCCUGUGAAUACGGGGUGGCCCCCUCCCCAGCUGCUGGAAGUGCUCAGCCAGAGCCAUAACUGCAUCUCGGGAGCCCUGCGCUGUCCGCAUCCAGCCAGCGCCUGGAGGGCUUAGGGCCAAAGAGGAGCACGCCUUGAGGGCUCGGAGAAUAAAAACCAUUUCAGCAAAGGCAGUUGAACUGGACCGGAUUUCCUCUGAGUGAAACACAUUGCAUUUAUCCGCAUAUUUAAGGUUGAAGAAUAAUAAAAAGCUGGAGAAAAAGAAGCUUUUGUCUACAAUGUAUGCAGACUAUUCUUGAUGAAGUCCGUAUCUUCCUUAGGUCCCUGAAUCAACACGAACACUUCCUAGUGCUCUGUAAAUAUAGAAACGUACAACUUCCGGUGUGAUAGGGACCGUCUUCCUAUGUCGGUUUGAAGUCGCACCUGCAAACACCACACGCGUGCAGUAACGGAUGGUCAAAUUGCUCUUGCGCGGUUGCCCCUGGACGGCUCCCACCGAAUGAAAAUGACCAGCACGUCUCUCCUGAUUUGUUGAGGCAAUGAAUAAUUUACUUUAAAUUUAGACUACAAAUUGGCACCACCGUUACUAAAAUAUAGUCAAGCAGGCACAUAAAUCAAGGCGACCUAUGAAUACACAGGGUAUCAAUUUUCAUAUACAGGUCCAAAGGAUAACACGGUUUAGGAAACACAAAAGGUAUCUGUUGCGCAGGCAUUUGUUUGUUCCUUCCUUCCUUCACUCAUUCGCUCAUACAACAGAUUUAAUCAAUGUCUAUUUAUAAAGUGCCAGAUUCCUAGAAAAUAGUUUGCUGUGUGAAUUAUUCAAAAGCCAGAUAUCCAUCCAGGAAGCGAGUGUGUAAUCUGUAGGGCCUUUCUCUGUUUCUGUACACGUUUCCUUCUUUUCUCUCUCUCCCUCAUCGGGGAAAGCCGGUAGAAUACAAUGAAAAUACGUGGGGUGCCCAGCCUACCAGCACAGUGUAGGGAGAGAGAGGAUGAAAGCGGGUUAUUACGAGAUACUGAAUAAAAGAUGUCACUCAGAGAAAAUGUGUCAAAGCUCCUGGCACUCUCCUUCAACUAAAAUUUGUUGAAAAGCUACUGAAAGGACUACUUUUAGGUGGACAAGAAUCUCCCCGUGGGAAGAAUGAUCAUCAUCAUGUUUCUGAGCCAGAUACAUUGUAAUCCCUCAGGAUGGGGGCUCCUGGUUUUUGGGCCGCGUCCACCUCUCAGAAGCCUUGAAGUGAAACUCGACAGGAGGACCCGAACACCACCGGUCGCAGCAGGCCUGGCAGAGUGCAAGGGUUUACACAUACAUGACCUCUGACUCUCACUCACAGCAGGACCUCCCGGGUGGGUUUAUUCCUAUUUCAGAGGUCUGCACUCGUCAAUUCUUCUCUCCUGGUCUCUUCCUUUCUCUGGACUUCCAUUUCCAAAUUCUCUUGCCCAUUCCUUCUCUGGUCAUCUCCUUAAAUUUUGGUGUCUUAUCUACAAUUAAGACAGGACUGUCCCCCCCCCCCCCCCGCAUGUGUGUAGAUGGGCUGCCCCCUCCUGCACAGAUGCACAUGACUUCCAUGUUCUUUUUUCUUGGUGGGGAUGGGGAGCACAGGCCUUGUGUGGAUGGUCCAGGGCUGUCCGAGCAGUGCGAUGGCCCGUCUCAUGCACUGGUUUUCACUGAGGUUAAACGCAGGGGUCAAGUUAGUGUGUUCUGAGGAGUGAGCGGGUCAGUGUCUUUCCAUGUGGCCAAAAGGCUUCUCUCAGGAUUAGCAACAGAGAGUCAGAAUAAGAGGACAGGAGGCACAGUGUGUGGGAAGUAAAAAGUCGCCCUGAAAAGGAACACUCCUGACACAAUGAUGACAUUUUCCAGACCACUCACUGUGCCCUUUUACCGACCAGGUUCCAUGUGGAAAAGAUGAUCUAAGGCUCCAAAGUCCAUGACACUGUUACUGGUCCUGAGGACCAUCUAAUUUUCUGCUAAUGCCUAUAUCAAGCGCGGUAUUUUCCGAGUACCUAGAAUUAAUCCAUACCAGCAGAAAUACAUGAACAAUUUGGAGUGAUCUCUCAUUUAAGAGAGAUUUAAGCCUAUUUCUUUUAACCCUGUUCUUACAUGACUCAAUAAAAUUAUAUCCAACUAUAGAAUAUUAUUUUCUCGAAGCUUCAAAGAUAUUUCGUUGUCAGACCACAUGCAUAAAUAUUCUAUGAGUUACUUAACAUAGGGAAAAGGAACAGCAUUCAUUGCACCUCAACUAAAAUUUAUGACGGCACCCAAAUGCCGCACCAAGAUGAGUUGCAGAAAAUCAUAAUAUUCACUUAGAGUAAUAGUUGCACAUCAGUUAUUUUUGUUUUAGAACAGACUUCAUUAUUGGCUGCACUGAUAUACAGUCACGGCUGAGACUGUCACUUAAGACAAAUGUGUGAUAUCGUUGUAACAUAGGCAAUGGUUCCAUCCAUCCACCCCAAUUUUAUAGAAUUCAAACUACUGUGGGAAUUUGUCAUUUGGCCAAGAAGGGUCAGUACGUGAGGUUAUAGAACAUCUGUUGAGGAGCCUCUGAAAGGAUCUUAAAAGUUUGCCUGAAUAAUUAUUUUGAGCAAAAUUAUUCUUCUCCAGAAUCUCUUAUCCUUUUACAUCCAUUUAUGUUUCUAACCAAUAGGCGAUUCAAUCAGUAGAAACACUGAUGGCCUUUUACUUUAAAAAGCAGGUGCCACUAUUAAACACAAGGUGGCGAUAUAAUCCUAUUUUCAGCCUCCAAGGAGCGACCGCUAUACCUGCGGUUGGUGCCUUGUGCUAGGCAUUUUGUCUUCAUUAGCCUAGACUAUCAGCCACCAAAAUCAAUUCCAACAGGAAAGAAAACAAAAACCAGAUGAAAUUAAUGAAAGGUGACAACCAGAUGACAGCUAUUUUUAUUUUUUUUAAUUUUUUUAUAACACUCUUAACAGGUAGGUGCUCUGAUCACGGCAAAUUCUGCAAGUAACAAUUUGGUAGAGUUGGGAUGGCCGGUGAGAUUAGUUGCAGAAGCAGACACUUCAGUUCCUCCGAAGCAGGUUUAGGUUGGUAAUGACAGUCAUUACCAUUUUACAGCCGUCCUGCUCAACUCAUAAUUAAGUAUGAUAGAAACCGCCUCCGCUCAUGACCCCUCACUGAUGAACAAAAUGAGGACAGGACCCAACCCCAUGGGAAUAUUCCUCCUUCCUGGUCAUUACCAGGUGUGGGAACCAUGAGUUAAAAUGACGCUUUAUGAGCUACAGAUUAGCCGAACAAAUUUCACAAUGGCUGAGGAGCUAAAUUCCCUGCAGGGCUCCUGUCCUGUGAGGCACAUUCGCAGAUGCACGUGCUAAGGCUAAAUUAACCUCUCAAUAGAAGUGCCCUGAAAGAGUUUGAAGCUAAAAUAUUGAAAUUCAGGUAGAUUUCAGAGUAAGGAGACUGUGAUACAGGCAAGCCUGUAUGCUGUACUCCGGUUGAGCGUUGACCAGCCAUCUAAGCAAAUGUUUGCCGUCCCUCUGGCUAAGGAACAAUGGUUCUCUGCCAAAUAAGGUCAUUACAAAGACGUCCUGAUUUCUGGGGCGCCUGGGUGGCUUAGUCUGUUAAGUGUCUGACUGCCACUCAGGUCACGAUCUCACGGUCCGUGAGU